UACAGAGGGUGCAAGCGUUGUUCGGAAUUACUGGGCGUAAAGCGCGCGCAGGCGGGUUUGUAAGUCGGACGGGAAAUCCCCAGGCUCAACCUGGGAACUGCGUCUGAUACUGGAUGGCUUGAAUCCGGGAGAGGGAUGCAGAAUUCCAGGUGUAGCGGUGAAAUGCGUAGAUAUCUGGAGGAAUACCGGUGGCGAAGGCGGCAUCCUGGACCGGCAUUGACGCUGAGGAGCGAAAGCCAGGGGAGCAAACGGG
This 253-nucleotide ribosomal RNA is filed under the name uncultured bacterium. RNAcentral's name for it is "partial 16S ribosomal RNA". It matches the Rfam family "Bacterial small subunit ribosomal RNA", at positions 524 to 776 of the family's 1533-position model. The record is from RNAcentral.